This is a long non-coding RNA of Etheostoma cragini (Arkansas darter), 215 nucleotides long. RefSeq lists it as uncharacterized. NCBI's taxonomy places the organism in Eukaryota, Metazoa, Chordata, Actinopteri, Perciformes, Percidae. The transcript is spliced from 2 exons. The record is from RefSeq and is a predicted model, not a curated record.
CAGGGUGAAGACGGGUCUCUGAAGAUGAGCCAUAAUGGACAUGAGUGCUGACAUUUUGUGCAGACUUGUUUUUGUUGGUCCUCACCCCAUGUGGCCGAGCGUCGAGUGCUGCAGGUUCUGGAUCUGCUGUUGCUGCCAGCAUGUGACUGAUCCAAGACCAGAACCUCCAAACCCGGACAGGGAGGAGAGGUCACUGCUGAGGGAGAACUCUGAGG